This 81-nucleotide ribosomal RNA is filed under the name uncultured bacterium. Its description in RNAcentral is "partial 16S ribosomal RNA". It matches the Rfam family "Archaeal small subunit ribosomal RNA", at positions 728 to 808 of the family's 1478-position model. The record is from RNAcentral.
AUUAGAUACCCGGGUAGUCCCAGCUGUAAACGAUGCAGACUCGGUGAUGGACUAGCUUUAUGCUAGUCCAGUGCCGCAGGG